Long non-coding RNA from Drosophila sechellia, 650 nucleotides. RefSeq lists it as uncharacterized. NCBI's taxonomy places the organism in Eukaryota, Metazoa, Arthropoda, Insecta, Diptera, Drosophilidae. The record is from RefSeq and is a predicted model, not a curated record. The transcript is spliced from 5 exons.
GAACAUUAUUUCCCCGGAGAACUAAACCACCGAUUAGUUUCUUAGUUCAUGCGGGUCAAUGAAAGAAAUAUCUAAACAUUUUCUAAAACUGCGAUCAGCCUUGAUCGUCGACUCCUUCUGGGAACGGUUAAAGCGACAAUUUUAGGAAGCUUGGCGGUGCUUGCACUGGACUACAGGAGACGUACUUACAUACGUAUGGCGUCACCUAAUCCUGAGGAGCUUCAAGGGAUAAGACGGGACCUGCGAACCAACCGGCAGUUGAGCGGCAUGCCGACGACACUUCGGACUCGCGAUUGAAUCCGGAUGGAUUAACAAUGAUCGAGCCAAUUCAACUACGAUGCAAUGACAGGCUUACCCAGAUCCUACGACCCGAAUAUGACGAUCUUACUUUGGCAACCUGGUGCCUGGAUAUCCGAUUCUUUAAAAAGGCACGGAAGCUGUUCUUUAAUUAGACUCUGAAGCUGAUUCUAAACAUGUAAAAAUUAAGCAACAGAGGAUACAUAGUUCAUUGCCAAUGGAAAUCAAGAUCGUAAGAAAGAAGAUUCGCUUAAUGGUCGAGGAAAAUCAUCUUUUUAUGAGUAACAAGAGCUGAAAAAGUCCAUAGACUAAAUUCAAAGUUGAGGAUAAGGACCUAAACUCGCUGGAACUGA